Eufriesea mexicana is the source of this 782-nucleotide long non-coding RNA. RefSeq lists it as uncharacterized. The record is from RefSeq and is a predicted model, not a curated record. The transcript has 4 exons. Lineage: Eukaryota; Metazoa; Arthropoda; Insecta; Hymenoptera; Apidae.
GCAAUUAAGAAUAAGUUAUAUCGGAGCUCGUCGACGAAAACCGUGUUCCUUGCCGGUAACGGUAUCUUCCAGUUUCGGCUGCUUCGCUCGCCGUGAUGCUGUUCCUUAACGAAACGUAAUUGUCUGGAAUGUGGCCACGAAAACGAGGUAGAAAGGAACACAGGGCAACUGAGAUUUCAGCGAGUUCACUGCUCGCCCGAACGGGAAAUUCUCCGGCGUUCGUGGUUAAGUGUAACGAUAUUCGACGCAGCGAGAUUUUGUAGGUUAUGUGAUUCUCGAGGACCAAAAAUCGCGUUUGAAUAUGUGAUAGUUUCGGUACACAUUGGGAUUACAGGUUUAUAAUUAACGAUCGAGAGUGAGUGUCCAGAGGAUACGUGAUGCAGCUCGCCUUAAUUCUCGCCCCAAUUCUUAUCCGAUGUUUAUAUAAACAUUCUUUCUCGGAAUUAUGUAUGUAUAAUUGACUGGAAAGUUCCAUGGGGAAGUAAAGAGGAUCGACGGUGGCGCCACAGACUCGAAAAAUUGCUGACUCAGCAGUGUUUUCAUGCAAGUUCAUCCGGUGCGAAAAGUUAGUUGCUGCGGAACAGUAAUAGCGCUAUAGUUCGUGUCGUUUACUGCUUCUCCGAAGAAGAAAGUAUGGAACAUAAUUGAACAAACAGUUUUCAAUUCGAUUAUACUGAGAAAAUAUUCUUCGGUGACGCGUAUACGGGGUUUUACCGCCACGCGGCCAUUGCUUGCUUCUCUAGCCUCGACAGUGCCGUAGCUACGCGUCAGUGCCAAGUGCA